Molecule: long non-coding RNA, 2538 nt
Filed under: Coffea arabica (coffee)
Lineage: Eukaryota; Viridiplantae; Streptophyta; Magnoliopsida; Gentianales; Rubiaceae
Description: long non-coding RNA (CARA_LNC008393)
Source: RNAcentral
UGUAGUACAAGGUAAAGUGUAUCCGGAUUGAAAGCUAAAGUCUAACAUUGGGCGCAAGAAGCCGCUCAGAGGAGUGGUCAGGUAAGAUAGUUAGGGAGGUUGGACAAUCAGUAUAUUCAGCUUCAUUUUGCAUUUCAUACCAUAACCAAAGCCAAAGAGCAAGAAGGACCAACUCCAAGAACCCGACUCAAAGACAAGAAUCGGAAUGGCAAUCGAGAGACAGGCCUUCAGUGCGUGAUGAUGUCUCGUGUACUCUCAUGUACGCGCCCCCCUGAAUGAAGCGAGCGGAGGGAUAGAUAUAACAAAAAGAAUCCGUGGGGAAGGCGACAGAAGUGACAACGUGAAUGCCCGAGGAAUAAGAGGUUGAAUCAAUAGUUAUAAGAUACCACCCAGGCACAGAAUCCGAAAUAACCAUCAGGAGUAGGACUAGGGGAAGACGGAUAGGUCUUAACUCCCGAUUGUUAUUAUUGCUAAGCCUUCACCCCAAUCCCUAUGAUACUGGUAGCGAGAAAAAGACUUCUACGGCUACUCCAACUUCUGGGGAUAUCUAAAGACUUUUUGAAAGAAAUUUAAUAGCUUUCAAAUAGCACAGUCCCGGAUGGAGAUCGUUAUAACGUUACAGCGUUAGCACUUACGGGGCGAAGCACUAAAAAAGAAUAUCUUAACAGGCUUCCUUCUUUUGUUUCCGGUUCAUUUUCUCUAGUAGUUGUCCCUGUCUCUUACGAUCCAGCUGUAGUUGCUUUACUUUCCUUUUCCCUAGCAGUCGAAACUUUCCCUACGAGCGAUGCAGCUGAGGGGGCAACUCUAUGGGUUUUCUUUUCUAGAGGUUCCAUACCUAAAUAUAAGGAAUAGUAUUUAAAGCAAGUGAUAGAAGUGAAAUCGCUCGGGCAAGAAGUGAGUUCGCUUAAUAGCAAUCCCUUUGAGCCCUCCAGUUAUCAAUCCUACACUCUUAGGAAAGCUUAUAGGUCAAAAGGAGGAGCAAGCAGUCUUAUCUAACAGGGGUAGGACAAGGUUAAUCGCAAGAAGGAAAAAGCAAGCUACUGCUUUCCUUUCAGUCGAGUCACUUCUUUCCCAAAACACCACUUCAUUAGGACUAAUCCGCCCCUGCUCUUUCUUAGUUGCCACUAGCGGCAUACCAAAACAAACGAAUUCGAAAUGCGGCUUACUUACCAGUAGGUAAUAUCUAAGUUACGCCUCAAACUCAUCCUCAUGCCUUUUUCCACCUGCCAUACAACAUUAAGAUAGAAGGACAGGCGAACCCUUCCUCGAGUUAGGAUUCAGACCGAAGGUUGGAAUAUUUUAACUGAAAAGGGGAUGCCCCCCUAGCCGAGCUAAGGUUUGGACCCUCUUGUGACUCAAACUAUGUAUGGGGAAGGGCCCAACACUACUUCCCUAAUUCGUACUUAUCGGGUGCGGGUGGUCUGUUACCUAAGGAUAUCGAUGACGCUUUCCCAAAGGCGUAAGGUGCUUUCACUAACACUCCUUCUAGAGGUUGUGAUCAGUAUGCUCCUUGGUCUAUGACCUUAUGUUGAGUCUAUCCCCACGGAAUACACACUCACUCAAGGACAAGAAUUCGAAUUCAAAAAGGCUCGUGAACCAUAACUAAUGGUGCACUUCGCUCGUCAAGCAAGAAAUGAAAAUAAGCCCUUUACGCGUGAGAGUUGUUAAAAAGCAGCAAAGACAAAGGCAUUGCACCUCACUAAGAGGCUACCGAAAGGGUCCUACUUCUCGCAUUGACUCCAUCGACAGAAAGAACUCAAAGACUCGAUACGGGAAUCCGAAGAAAAAAAGGGAAUAGGCCUAUCCGCGCCGUCAAGUUCAAGAAAACGAAGCUAUGUCAGCAGGUGGUCUUGUAAGAGAAAGGCUCUUACUUGUUCUAUGGAAAGGAAAUCCGCAAUGGUUGAACCUUCUGUACGCCUGUGAUGUCCUGGUAUUGAGAAAGAAAUCGGCCAGGAAUGGAUCGUAUACUUAAAAUUCCGAGUCAACAACCCUAACUCGAGCACUUAUAUAAAAGAAAAUCUUUGUGAAAAAGCUUUAGUAUAAAGGAUACUUACCAGAGUGAAGUCCUUGACCAGCAAAGAGCCUUUCUUAUGCUGGUUAUGGUAGAGCUGAUCAAAUCAGUCCUUUUUUCUAUUCAGAAUGACUGUAAAAGUCUAUUCAUAUUCCCCUUGAAAGUUGCUUGAUGACAUUGAGCGGAUUCUUAUUCCUGUGGAAAGAGGCAGAUUGAAAGCACACCGGAGCCUUGCUUGGGACCAGGUCUCUUGUCCUACUAGGAGGGAAGGUGCUUUUGGCAUUAAGAGAGUUCAUGAAUGGAACACAACAUCUGUGUUGAAGCAUUGGCCAACGCCUCCCAUAGGUUCAGAUUUCCCGGAAUAAAGCAGUUCGUGCAGAGGUUUUCCUCUCUUCUGCCUCGGGUUAAUCCAACAUAUAGGACUGGUCCAGUUGGCAUAUCAGCUCUCGCUGAAGAAAGUAAGAGAAUAGGAGAUGCCCCCUAACUGGGUAUCCUAAAAACCCCGCUAUGGGCGCUUAGAAGCACCC